UGGCUCAGGACGAACGCUGGCGGCGUGCUUAACACAUGCAAGUCGAACGAUGAACCACUUCGGUGGGGAUUAGUGGCGAACGGGUGAGUAACACGUGGGCAAUCUGCCCUGCACUCUGGGACAAGCCCUGGAAACGGGGUCUAAUACCGGAUACUGAUCCGCUUGGGCAUCCAGGCGGUUCGAAAGCUCCGGCGGUGCAGGAUGAGCCCGCGGCCUAUCAGCUUGUUGGUGAGGUAGUGGCUCACCAAGGCGACGACGGGUAGCCGGCCUGAGAGGGCGACCGGCCACACUGGGACUGAGACACGGCCCAGACUCCUACGGGAGGCAGCAGUGGGGAAUAUUGCACAAUGGGCGAAAGCCUGAUGCAGCGACGCCGCGUGAGGGAUGACGGCCUUCGGGUUGUAAACCUCUUUCAGCAGGGAAGAAGCGAAAGUGACGGUACCUGCAGAAGAAGCGCCGGCUAACUACGUGCCAGCAGCCGCGGUAAUACGUAGGGCGCAAGCGUUGUCCGGAAUUAUUGGGCGUAAAGAGCUCGUAGGCGGCUUGUCACGUCGGUUGUGAAAGCCCGGGGCUUAACCCCGGGUCUGCAGUCGAUACGGGCAGGCUAGAGUUCGGUAGGGGAGAUCGGAAUUCCUGGUGUAGCGGUGAAAUGCGCAGAUAUCAGGAGGA
Molecule: ribosomal RNA, 669 nt
Filed under: Streptomyces ambofaciens
Lineage: Bacteria; Bacillati; Actinomycetota; Actinomycetes; Kitasatosporales; Streptomycetaceae
Description: bacterial SSU rRNA
Rfam family: Bacterial small subunit ribosomal RNA
Source: RNAcentral